GAUGAACGCUGGCGGCGUGCCUAAUACAUGCAAGUCGAGCGAACAGACCAGGCUCUUUCUCCGCUUACGUUGCCAGCGGGCGGGUGAGUCACACGUGACUAACCUAUCUAUAAGACUUAAAUCACUUCGGGAAACCGGAAUAACUACCGGGUAAUAUAUUGAACCGCGUGGUUCGUUGGUGAAAGACGGUUUUGCUGUCACUUAUAGAUAGAUCCUAGCGGCAUUAGCUAGUUGGUAAGGUAACGCCUUACCAAGACGACGAUGCGUAUCCGACCGGGGAGGGGGAUAGGCCACCCGGGAAGGGAGACACGGUCAAGACUCCUACGAGAGGGAGCAGUAGCGAAUCGUACGCAGUAGGCGAGAGCCUGACGGAGUGACGCCGCGUGAGAGAUGAAGGCCUUCGGAUCGGAAAAAUCUGUUAUGAGUGAAGAACAAAUGUGUAAGUAAAUAUGCACGUCGUGACGGUACCUAAACAGAAAGCCACGGCUAACUACGUG
This 497-nucleotide ribosomal RNA is filed under the name uncultured bacterium. Its description in RNAcentral is "partial 16S ribosomal RNA". It matches the Rfam family "Bacterial small subunit ribosomal RNA", at positions 28 to 507 of the family's 1533-position model. The record is from RNAcentral.